This 440-nucleotide ribosomal RNA is filed under the name uncultured Arcobacter sp. RNAcentral's name for it is "bacterial SSU rRNA". It matches the Rfam family "Bacterial small subunit ribosomal RNA", at positions 338 to 795 of the family's 1533-position model. The record is from RNAcentral. Lineage: Bacteria; Pseudomonadati; Campylobacterota; Epsilonproteobacteria; Campylobacterales; Arcobacteraceae.
CCUACGGGUGGCUGCAGUGGGGAAUAUUGCACAAUGGACGAAAGUCUGAUGCAGCAACGCCGCGUGGAGGAUGACACAUUUCGGUGCGUAAACUCCUUUUAUAUGUCAAGAUAAUGACGGUAGCCUAUGAAUAAGCGCCGGCUAACUCCGUGCCAGCAGCCGCGGUAAUACGGAGGGCGCAAGCGUUACUCGGAAUCACUGGGCGUAAAGAGCGUGUAGGCGGAUUGAUAAGUUCGAAGUGAAAUCCAAUAGCUUAACUAUUGAACUGCUUUGAAAACUGUUGAUCUAGAGUGUGGGAGAGGUAGAUGGAAUUUCUGGUGUAGGGGUAAAAUCCGUAGAUAUCAGAAGGAAUACCGAUUGCGAAGGCGAUCUACUGGAACACAACUGACGCUGAGACGCGAAAGCGUGGGGAGCAAACAGGCUUAGAUACCCCGGUAGUC